ACCACUUUUGAUUAAAUAUCAAUAAAACCAGUCAAAAAAAAAAAAUCUGUUCUUAUCAGUUUAAUAUCUGAUACGUCCCCCAUCCGGGGACUACAUAUUAAAUGGAUUUUUAGAUCACGGAGCUGGAGCCGGGGCUUGCUCCGUCCACUCCAUGCAUCGGCCUGGUAUCGCAGUGUCUCCAGGAACGGUGUGCUUUCC
This 198-nucleotide small nuclear RNA is filed under the name Carassius auratus (goldfish). Its description in RNAcentral is "U2 spliceosomal RNA (ENSCARG00000039358.1)". It matches the Rfam family "U2 spliceosomal RNA". Rfam says of the family: U2 is a small nuclear RNA (snRNA) component of the spliceosome (involved in pre-mRNA splicing). Complementary binding between U2 snRNA (in an area lying towards the 5' end but 3' to hairpin I) and the branchpoint sequence (BPS) of the intron results the bulging out of an unpaired adenosine, on the BPS, which initiates a nucleophilic attack at the intronic 5' splice site, thus starting the first of two transesterification reactions that mediate splicing. The record is from Rfam by way of RNAcentral. Lineage: Eukaryota; Metazoa; Chordata; Actinopteri; Cypriniformes; Cyprinidae.